ACGCUCGACACCUACGGGAGGUAGCAGUGGGGAAUAUUGCACAAUGGGGGAAACCCUGAUGCAGCGACGCCGCGUGAGCGAAGAAGUAUUUCGGUAUGUAAAGCUCUAUCAGCAGGGAAGAAACUGACGGUACCUGACUAAGAAGCACCGGCUAAAUACGUGCCAGCAGCCGCGGUAAUCUGAGCGGCUGGCAAGGC
RNAcentral lists this ribosomal RNA (197 nucleotides) under uncultured bacterium. RNAcentral describes it as "partial 16S ribosomal RNA". It matches the Rfam family "Bacterial small subunit ribosomal RNA", at positions 328 to 539 of the family's 1533-position model. The record is from RNAcentral.